Molecule: long non-coding RNA, 1172 nt
Filed under: Capra hircus (goat)
Lineage: Eukaryota; Metazoa; Chordata; Mammalia; Artiodactyla; Bovidae
Description: lncRNA (ENSCHIG00010015663.1)
Source: RNAcentral
UGGAGCUCUUUGUCCGAGAUUGCCCGGCCACUCUCCCAGCUGAGCAGCAGCCCCACCAACAGCAGUAGAGUCUUCAUCUUGCCUCCUUCUCCACUUCUGGAAUCCCAGCACGCCUCUGUUUGCAGAGAACAGGGAACUGUCAUGGCAACAGCUAGACAGCCCGCUGGUCUCCGGCCCAGCCUGCCGCCUGCUCUCCUGGAGCCCUGCUGAGGCCUGGCCCUCCGCUAUGCCCUUACUUGCAUCAACGCCUUUUUAUCCCAGGGACUGGACAAGAAAGGAUCAGUCUUGCCAAUGGGCACUUUCAAAAGAAAGUGGGAGGCAGCGGGUACCGGGAAGAACCGCAGGAAAGCAGCCUCAUACAGAAGAAACGAGGAUCUGGAGUCAGAACCACCGGACUCAGGUCCAAGCUACCCUCCGCCUGUUCCUCCCCCUCCUCCUCCUCUUCUCAUCAUAGCUGACUGUGCCCGAAAAAGGCACAGGAACUGUCUGCAUCCAGAGAGGACAUCCAUCUGACAAUGCCUGCUCACACCAAACUCAACUCUGAACACACCUCUCCUGGGUCACUCAUCCGGCCUAUUCCAUCCCCCCAACGUGGGGACUGCAGCCCAGAGUGCAGCCAGCCCCCUGCUGUUGACAUCACCAAGCCUGCCCGCAGCAGGCAUCACCAAUCGAUCACAGCACUGUCCCCAGAAAUGUCUCAACACCUCCUGAAAGUGCUUUUCGAGGGUCUGAGGAAAAUAAAUCCAUUUGUCAUCACCAGCGUGAGACUUGGGGCAGGAGGUGUGGAUGAGAGUAGAGCAAGGCGUGGACAGUGGUCUCCAGGGAGCGUAUCGAGGGAGGGGCAAAGCCAAAGGAUUGGGGAGGGGGAUGUGGCGAGGUCGGCGAGGGGGAGGGCAAGGAGCCUCCCCAGAAGAAGUCCUGCUGGGAGGAGCGCCUCUCUGCUCUGCCAGGUCCCUUUCACUCAGCUGGUCUCUCUUAACACACCACAGCGCGUCUGCCAAGGUCCUUCCACCACACUCGGCUGGCUGCCUGAACCCUGGACCAGCUGGUCUUACACAAUGGAUCCUUUCCCCAAAGCUGAAGUUGUUGCAAAACAGAAACCCCUCCCCCCGCAUCCCUCCCGCUGCACCCCUCCCCGCAACUUAUCAUCUGAACUCACCCGCUUCCCCUAA